Molecule: ribosomal RNA, 253 nt
Filed under: uncultured bacterium
Lineage: Bacteria
Description: partial 16S ribosomal RNA
Rfam family: Bacterial small subunit ribosomal RNA
Source: RNAcentral
UACGGGGGGGGUAAGCGUUGUUCGGAAUUACUGGGCGUAAAGGGCUCGUAGGCGGCCAACUAAGUCAUACGUGAAAUCCCUCAGCUUAACUGGGGAACUGCGUGUGAUACUGGAUGGCUUGGAUUUGGGAGAGGGAUGCGGAAUUCCAGGUGUAGCGGUGAAAUGCGUAGAGAUCCGAAGGAACGCCGGUGGCGAAAGCGGCGGACUGGGCACCUUCUGACGCUGAGGCGCGAAAGCCAGGGGAGCAAACGGG